AGGGGAAUUGAAACAUCUUAGUACCCUCAGGAAAAGAAAUCAAUAGAGAUUGCGUCAGUAGCGGCGAGCGAAAGCGCAAGAGGGCAAACCCAGUGCUUGCACUGGGGGUUGUAGGACUGCAAUGUGCAAGAGCUGAGUUUAGCAGAACAUUCUGGAAAGUAUAGCCAUAGAGGGUGAUAGUCCCGUAUGCGAAAAACAAAGCUUAGCUAGCAGUAUCCUGAGUAGGGCGGGACACGAGGAAUCCUGUCUGAAUCCGGGUCGACCACGAUCCAACCCUAAAUACUAAUACCAGAUCGAUAGUGCACAAGUACCGUGAGGGAAAGGUGAAAAGAACUGAGGUGAUCAGAGUGAAAUAGAACCUGAAACCAUUUGCUUACAAUCAUUCAGAGCACUAUGUAGCAAUACAGUGUGAUGGACUGCCUUUUGCAUAAUGAGCCUGCGAGUUGUGGUGUCUGGCAAGGUUAAGCAAACGCGAAGCCGUAGCGAAAGCGAGUCUGAAUAGGGCGCUUAGUCAGAUGCUGCAGACCCGAAACGAAGUGAUCUAUCCAUGAGCAAGUUGAAGCUAGUGUAAGAACUAGUGGAGGACUGAACCCAUAGGCGUUGAAAAGCCCCGGGAUGACUUGUGGAUAGGGGUGAAAGGCCAAUCAAACUUCGUGAUAGCUGGUUCUCUCCGAAAUAUAUUUAGGUAUAGCGUUGUGUCGUAAUAUAAGGGGGUAGAGCACUGAAUGGGCUAGGGCAUACACCAAUGUACCAAACCCUAUCAAACUCCGAAUACCUUAUAUGUAAUCACAGCAGUCAGGCGGCGAGUGAUAAAAUCCGUCGUCAAGAGGGAAACAACCCAGACUACCAGCUAAGGUCCCUAAAUCUUACUUAAGUGGAAAACGAUGUGAAGUUACUUAAACAACCAGGAGGUUGGCUUAGAAGCAGCCAUCCUUUAAAGAAAGCGUAAUAGCUCACUGGUCUAGUGAUUUUGCGCGGAAAAU
RNAcentral lists this ribosomal RNA (983 nucleotides) under Listeria monocytogenes. RNAcentral describes it as "bacterial LSU rRNA". It matches the Rfam family "Bacterial large subunit ribosomal RNA", at positions 186 to 1171 of the family's 2925-position model. Lineage: Bacteria; Bacillati; Bacillota; Bacilli; Caryophanales; Listeriaceae. The record is from RNAcentral.